Molecule: ribosomal RNA, 803 nt
Filed under: uncultured bacterium
Lineage: Bacteria
Description: bacterial SSU rRNA
Rfam family: Bacterial small subunit ribosomal RNA
Source: RNAcentral
AGAGUUUGAUCAUGGCUCAGGACGAACGCUGGCGGCGUGCCUAAUACAUGCAAGUCGAGCGAAUCGAUGGGAGCUUGCUCCCUGAGAUUAGCGGCGGACGGGUGAGUAACACGUGGGCAACCUGCCUAUAAGACUGGGAUAACUUCGGGAAACCGGAGCUAAUACCGGAUGCGUUCUUUUCUCGCAUGAGAGAAGAUGGAAAGACGGUUUACGCUGUCACUUAUAGAUGGGCCCGCGGCGCAUUAGCUAGUUGGUGAGGUAAUGGCUCACCAAGGCAACGAUGCAUAGCCGACCUGAGAGGGUGAUCGGCCACACUGGAACUGAGACACGGCCCAGACUCCUACGGGAGGCAGCAGUAGGGAAUCUUCCGCAAUGGACGAAAGUCUGACGGAGCAACGCCGCGUGAGUGAUGAAGGCUUUCGGGUCGUAAAACUCUGUUGUUAGGGAAGAACAAGUACGAGAGUAACUGCUCGUACCUUGACGGUACCUAACCAGAAAGCCACGGCUAACUACGUGCCAGCAGCCGCGGUAAUACGUAGGUGGCAAGCGUUAUCCGGAAUUAUUGGGCGUAAAGCGCGCGCAGGCGGUUUCUUAAGUCUGAUGUGAAAGCCCACGGCUCAACCGUGGAGGGUCAUUGGAAACUGGGGAACUUGAGUGCAGAAGAGGAAAGUGGAAUUCCAAGUGUAGCGGUGAAAUGCGUAGAGAUUUGGAGGAACACCAGUGGCGAAGGCGACUUUCUGGUCUGUAACUGACACUGAGGCGCGAAAGCGUGGGGAGCAAACAGGAUUAGAUACCCUGGUAGU